ACUGAACGCUGGCGGCAUGCUUUACACAUGCAAGUCGAACGGUAACAGGCCUUCGGGUGCUGACGAGUGGCGAACGGGUGAGUAAUGCAUCGGAACGUGCCCAGAGGUGGGGGAUAACGCAGCGAAAGCUGUGCUAAUACCGCAUGUGAUCUGAGGAUGAAAGCGGGGGACCAGGCAGCAAUGUUUGGCCUCGCGCCUUUGGAGCGGCCGAUGUCAGAUUAGGUAGUUGGUGGGGUAAAGGCCUACCAAGCCGACGAUCUGUAGCUGGUCUGAGAGGACGACCAGCCACACUGGGACUGAGACACGGCCCAGACUCCUACGGGAGGCAGCAGUGGGGAAUUUUGGACAAUGGGCGCAAGCCUGAUCCAGCAAUGCCGCGUGCGGGAAGAAGGCCUUCGGGUUGUAAACCGCUUUUGUACGGAACGAAAAGGCUCUGGCUAAUACCUGGGGCUGAUGACGGUACCGUAAGAAUAAGCACCGGCUAACUACGUG
RNAcentral lists this ribosomal RNA (492 nucleotides) under uncultured bacterium. RNAcentral's name for it is "partial 16S ribosomal RNA". It matches the Rfam family "Bacterial small subunit ribosomal RNA", at positions 30 to 507 of the family's 1533-position model. The record is from RNAcentral.